CCUCUCUCAGGGUCGCACCUGGAGAGUUUCCAGUACUCUACCGGUCUCGACUAUGGGAGGGAGAGUCAAGCAGAGGCAUAUCCAUUCCAUUUCUAGCUUGGGCAGUGGCUAGCUAGUGAAAAGCAAUCUGCUACAAGU
RNAcentral lists this small nucleolar RNA (138 nucleotides) under Ornithorhynchus anatinus (platypus). Lineage: Eukaryota; Metazoa; Chordata; Mammalia; Monotremata; Ornithorhynchidae. The record is from RNAcentral.